CGAUGCCACACGGGUGCAACAGAAGCUUUUGUUGCUUCAGAAAACACUCUUAGAGGACUUCGCAAGUUCCAGGCAGGAUUCCAAGCGCUUUCUCUCUCUCUCCCCUCUCUGCCUUUCUCUCGCCCCCUGCCUCCACCGCGUCUCUCUCCGUCUCUCUGUUUCUGUCUGGCUGUCUCUCGGAGACCUGCCUCCAGACAAGCCGCUGGGGAUCAGAGCCAGGGGUCGGGCUCCCUGCCUGGGCCCACGAGGCCUGUUAAGCGUCCGCACCUCCUCGCAUGUCUGCCUCCGCGCCAGCCCCAGCCCUGUCCUGAGGACCCCAGGGCACGGUGAGAAGCCUAGAAGAUGUUUGGGUAGAGGUCUCUGUGCAGGGUUGGCCCACGUGGACGCUCAGUGUCCUUUAGUUUCCUCCCUUGUGGCCACGGGUGGAGGAACCCACUGGGCCUCCCCAGGGGGCCUUGCUGGGCACAGCGGGGGCCCUGGGCCGAGCCGCUCUAUUCUAACACUUGACUCCUGAGGAUCCAGUUACAGCUGAAGAGGUCCAGUCCACGGUCACCACGGUCACCACGUCCCAGCGUCGGAGAGGAGCCUGGAUCUGUUCCGACCCCCAGUGUCUCGUGGCCGGUCUGACCACUGGCAGAGAGGUGGUCCCCCCAGGCUGCUGUGGGGAUGGGGUGGUGGACGCUUGCCUGCGUCAGCAGAUUGCCGCCCCUCCGUGGUCCCCAGGGCCUAGCUCUGGGGGAGCUGAGCUGGGGGCUGGCCCGGCUCCCCCGAAGCUGGCGUUCUGGAACCACUGGGAGCAGCCUUCCCGAGGCCGCUGCUUGUUCAUGCUCAGGUCCAGGGUCCCGUUCUCAUCCACCUCCAUGUCAGGGUUCUGCAAGAUGGAAGGACAAGCUGACCACACGCCUCUCCCCUCAGACCACAGCCCUUCCGCCAGGACAGAAUCCAAGCCUCAGAUGUCUCAGGGCAGCCUCACGUGCAAAAGCUCCCCAGGUGAGAGAAGCGGUCCCCUCAUCCGUCCUGCUCCCCGCGCUGUGAAAGCUUGAAACUGGCUGGCAGGUGCACAGGGCAUCCAUCUUUCUGCUUAUCUACGGACCACCUCUCACUCUCUCUUGCCUCUUAUCCACUAAUCUAUCAUCUCUCUCUCACUUAACUAUCAUAGAUCUGUAUCUUUUUUCCCUAAUAUGUCUCUGCUUUUAGAAAUAAGCCUCACCAGAAGAAAAACAAAUGCCUGAUUUCAAUUUUAUCACAGUUCAAAAAGAGAUCAGAAAUGGAUGUGUGUACAAAUUAUACAUAUAUACGUAAAAAUGUACACAGACUUAAAAUUCUCCUUUAGUUUCACUGAUGCUAAUACUCCCAGACUUGGAGAUGAAGAAAAUACAAGAAUUUAGAGGGAUGGAGGAGAGGAACUAUAAUUUACUUCCUUUUUUUUGGGGGGGGGAAUCAAACUGAGUCCUAUCAGGUACAGGCUCUGGGAAUACAGUAGUGAACAAAUCAAAACAAAACCCCACACACAGAACUUACUUUCCAACACAAAACCUUAUCAUAUGUGAGAAAGAGGAUUUUCUAUUUUAAGGCAGGGAAAUGUGCAAUCACAGCACAACACGAUUCCACAGCAGUGAUCACGGCUGACCUGCUUAAGGGUCAGCAAACCUGCAGUUUAGUCACCCAGCUUUGCAAAAGCCAAAGAGGUACAGGGUGAGGGCUUUCUUUUCUUUCUUUCUUUCUUUCUUUUUUUUUUUUUUUGAUGUUUUAACAGAUCAAGAAUCCCUGAGAAUCCUCCUCUCGGGAAUGGGGAGAGAAGGGAAGGGCAGAUGGAGGACAGAGGAAAGAAAAAUCAAAAUACCCCCGACAAUCCUCCAUUUUUUCUCCCCCAAAGAGUCAUACUCUCUUGAGCAGUUUGAUGUCAGAGCUGGCGCGAACGCCGCUGCCUACUCAAAGGUCUGGCGUCUCUUUCCUCAGGAUGCCACAGCAGAGGGAUGGUGCCUGGCACCAGCCUCCGCCUCCGGGCUGUUACGGGGUGAAUCCCAGCGCACUAUGCUGCCUGAACCCUCCUUGCCACAGUGCACCUCUGGUUUCCAGCUUUCAGACUAAUACAGCCUUCACCAUGUCGGACUGUAAUUCCCUUGGUCUUAGUUUAUAUUUAAUAAAGCGAAAAAAAAAAAACAAUCGAAGGGGCUAUUGUCUUUUGUUUUUCCCCUUGCCACAGAAUUUCCUCCAUUGCAGCCUGGCAUUUUAGCAGCCCUGAUGACCAUGGAAAUUGCAUGCCCCUGACACUCCUUCAAAAUCCAGGAAUAAAAAUAUUAAUAGAGAAGAAAGCAUUUGCAAGACAUAAAAUUACUGACCUUUCUCCAUUCACACAAAUCACACCUAUUUCUAACAACUACGGUCAGUGUGGUGUGCUCGGGAGCGUGCCCAGCGGCGCUGGGUGACGGGACGGCCCUUUGUUCUGGAGACGAGAGCCGCCCGCUCGCCGGCGUGGGCAGGACGCGCUAGCGCCCGGGCCCCUGGCCGCCUGGCGGCCUCUCUGGGCAGCUCCGGGCGCGGCGGGGCCGAGCGACUCCCUCUCCUGCCCGGAACCGGUCACCAGGACCCGACCGCUUUGGCAUCUGCGGCGCUCUGAACUAAUGGAAGCUGACUGUAAUUGCUUGGCUGGGAGCCCGCGGGGAAACGGGAGUUUUGCCCUUUCUUUGUUCCCCAGCUCUGGGCUGGAGGGCGCGGUCCAGCCCGCCCGCGGCGGCCUCCGCCCGCGGCGCUGCACACCCUCCUCUGAUUAAGGGCGGGGGCGCAAGGCCCCUCGAGGUCCCUAGUCUCCGUGCUUCCCUCGGGAUCGCCAGGAGGGGAGCCAGGUGUGGGUCCUAAAAGGGGGAGGGGCGGUGCUCCUAAAUGCACAGGUGGACUGAUCUGGAAAAUGUGUCCCCAAGGCCCUGGGCAGGCAGGCCU
This 2940-nucleotide long non-coding RNA is filed under the name Ovis aries (sheep). Its description in RNAcentral is "lncRNA (ENSOARG00000025732.1)". Lineage: Eukaryota; Metazoa; Chordata; Mammalia; Artiodactyla; Bovidae. The record is from RNAcentral.